GUAGGGUGCAAGCGUUGUCCGGAAUUAUUGGGCGUAAAGAGCUCGUAGGCGGUCUGUUGCGUCGGCUGUGAAAACCCGGGGCUCAACCCCGGGCCUGCAGCCGAUACGGGCAGACUAGAGUUCGGCAGGGGAGACUGGAAUUCCUGGUGUAGCGGUGAAAUGCGCAGAUAUCAGGAGGAACACCGGUGGCGAAGGCGGGUCUCUGGGCCGAAACUGACGCUGAGGAGCGAAAGCGUGGGGAGCGAACAGGAUUAGAUACCCUGGUAGUCCACGCCGUAAACGUUGGGCGCUAGGUGUGGGUUCCCUUCCACGGGAUCCGUGCCGCAGCUAACGCAUUAAGCGCCCCGCCUGGGGAGUACGGCCGCAAGGCUA
RNAcentral lists this ribosomal RNA (372 nucleotides) under uncultured organism. RNAcentral's name for it is "bacterial SSU rRNA". It matches the Rfam family "Bacterial small subunit ribosomal RNA", at positions 527 to 896 of the family's 1533-position model. The record is from RNAcentral.